RNAcentral lists this unclassified non-coding RNA (762 nucleotides) under Apis dorsata (giant honeybee). RNAcentral's name for it is "zinc finger protein 771-like, transcript variant X1". The record is from RNAcentral. Lineage: Eukaryota; Metazoa; Arthropoda; Insecta; Hymenoptera; Apidae.
AAUGGAAUCUUUUUGAAGGAAAAAAAAAAAAAAAAAAAAAAAAAGAAAAAAGAAAAAAAAAGAUUGUUCGAGUACCAACCUUUCUUACGCGUUUUUUUUCGGUGUCUGAAACGGAUAGCCGAACAACAAGGAUGUCCUCACCACCUGAAGAUAAUGGUACACAACGAUCUCUAUUCCGGUAGUUUUUAAUAAUUAUCGUUAAAACGCAUAGAUUAAGACGUAUUUUCUUCCUAUAGAUAUAUAUAUAUAUGUAUAUAUAUAUAUAUAUAUAUAUACAUACAUAUAUAAUAUAUUAUAUAUAUUAGAUAAUUGAAAAAAAAAGUUCAUUAAUAAUCGCGCUUUUGAAAUUGAAAAACGAAAAAAAGUAAAAAUUGCAAAAAAAAAAAAAAAAAGAAAAAAAAGAGGGAGCUCUCUGGAAAUGAUCGAUAUGAUGGCUCGACGUUUUCAUCUAGAAGAUCAUCCGCAACUUGUUUAAGUUUCAGGUUUCUAUGCCGCGGCCCCACAGUUGGAUCUAAACUUCGUUUUACAAUCUUGCAAGGCGUUCGAGAACUCGGAAGGAGGCGGUAACAGGGAGGCGGCGGCGGCGGCGGCGGCGGCAGCGACGACGACGACGACGACGACGGGCCAGCCAGAUUUCGGUGGCGGUUACGUGACGCCCCUGCCUAAUUAUCACGCGCAAGCUGGUAGGCAAAGGAGCACGUACGCGAAAGGUAAUUUCGCGGAUUGCUUCAGAAAGCCGUUCCCCUGCCCGAAAUGCGGCCG